CAGAGGGUGCGAGCGUUGUUCGGAAUUACUGGGCGUAAAGCGCGCGCAGGCGGCCUUUUAAGUCUGACGGUGAAAUGCCGGGGCUCAACCCCGUGCCCGCCGGAGAUACUGGGAGGCUGGAGACGAGUAGAGGCAAGCGGAAUUCCGGGGGUAGCGGUGGAAUGCGUAGAGAUCCGGAAGAACACCGGAGGCGAAGGCGGCUUGCUGGGCUUUGUCUGACGCUGAGGCGCGAAAGCGUGGGGAGCGAACAGGAUUAGAUACCCUGGUAGUCCACGCCGUAAACGAUGGGCACUAGACGCGGGUGGGAUCGACCCCUUCCGUGUCGCAGCUAACGCGAUAAGUGCCCCGCCUGGGGAGUACGGCCGCAAGGCUG
Molecule: ribosomal RNA, 373 nt
Filed under: uncultured organism
Description: bacterial SSU rRNA
Rfam family: Bacterial small subunit ribosomal RNA
Source: RNAcentral